This 240-nucleotide ribosomal RNA is filed under the name uncultured bacterium. RNAcentral's name for it is "partial 16S ribosomal RNA". It matches the Rfam family "Bacterial small subunit ribosomal RNA", at positions 100 to 334 of the family's 1533-position model. The record is from RNAcentral.
CCGGCACGGGUGAGUAACACGUAUGCAAUCCACCUGUAACAGGGGGAGUAACCCGGAGAAAUCCGGACUAAUACCCCAUAAUAUGGGCGCUCCGCAUGGAGAGCCCAUUAAAGAGAGCAAUUUUGGUUACAGACGAGCAUGCGCUCCAUUAGCCAGUUGGCGGGGUAACGGCCCACCAAGCUCGAUGGAUAGGGGUUCUGAGAGGAAGGUCCCCCACAUUGGAACUGAGACACGGUCCAA